UUGGUCAAUGGACGCCAGUCUGAACCAGCCAUGCCGCGUGAAGGAUGAAGGUCCUCUGGAUUGUAAACUUCUUUUAUCUGGGACGAAAACGGGAUUUUUAUCUCAAUUGACGGUACCAGAGGAAUAAGCACCGGCUAACUCCGUGCCAGCAGCCGCGGUAAUACGGAGGGUGCGAGCGUUAUCCGGAUUUACUGGGUUUAAAGGGUGCGUAGGUGGGCUUAUAAGUCAGUGGUGAAAUCUCCGAGCUUAACUUGGAAACUGCCGUUGAUACUAUAGGUCUUGAAUUAUCUGGAGGUAAGCGGAAUAUGUCAUGUAGCGGUGAAAUGCUUAGAUAUGACAUAGAACACCAAGUGCGAAGGCAGCUUACUACAUAUAAAUUGACGCUGA
Molecule: ribosomal RNA, 387 nt
Filed under: uncultured bacterium
Lineage: Bacteria
Description: bacterial SSU rRNA
Rfam family: Bacterial small subunit ribosomal RNA
Source: RNAcentral